UAAGGAAUAUUGGUCAAUGGACGCAAGUCUGAACCAGCCAUGCCGCGUGAAGGAUGAAGGUCCUCUGGAUUGUAAACUUCUUUUAUCUGGGACGAAAACGGGAUUUUUAUCUCAAUUGACGGUACCAGAGGAAUAAGCACCGGCUAACUCCGUGCCAGCAGCCGCGGUAAUACGGAGGGUGCGAGCGUUAUCCGGAUUUACUGGGUUUAAAGGGUGAGUAGGUGGGCUUAUAAGUCAGUGGUGAAAUCUCCGAGCUUAACUUGGAAACUGCCGUUGAUACUAUAGGUCUUGAGUUAUCUGGAGGUAAGCGGAAUAUGUCAUGUAGCGGUGAAAUGCUUAGAUAUGACAUAGAACACCAAUUGCGAAGGCAGCUUACUACAUAUAAAUUGACGCUGAGGCACGAAAGCAUGGGGAUCAAACA
RNAcentral lists this ribosomal RNA (421 nucleotides) under uncultured bacterium. Its description in RNAcentral is "bacterial SSU rRNA". It matches the Rfam family "Bacterial small subunit ribosomal RNA", at positions 355 to 774 of the family's 1533-position model. The record is from RNAcentral.